This 73-nucleotide transfer RNA is filed under the name Camelus bactrianus (Bactrian camel). It matches the Rfam family "tRNA". Rfam says of the family: Transfer RNA (tRNA) molecules are approximately 80 nucleotides in length. Their secondary structure includes four short double-helical elements and three loops (D, anti-codon, and T loops). Lineage: Eukaryota; Metazoa; Chordata; Mammalia; Artiodactyla; Camelidae. RNAcentral also lists the same sequence under 1 other name. The record is from Rfam by way of RNAcentral.
GAAGGUAUAGCUCAGUGGUAGAGCACGUGCUUUGCAUGCAGCAAGGUCCUGCGUUCAAUCCCUAGUACCUCCA